RNAcentral lists this ribosomal RNA (1299 nucleotides) under Triticum aestivum (bread wheat). RNAcentral describes it as "partial small subunit ribosomal RNA". Lineage: Eukaryota; Viridiplantae; Streptophyta; Magnoliopsida; Poales; Poaceae. The record is from RNAcentral.
AUGCUCCGCCGCCUACCCGUUGCCGUGGCCGUCGCGGCCGCGGGCCUCCGCCGCUCCCUCUGCACGGCGCGCUCCCGCUCGCGCCCGCCGUGGGCCCUGAUCCAGUGCGCGUCGGUCGACGAGUCCGGGGCGCCGGCGCCGGCCGUGUCCUUCCGCGCCGGCGAAGCCCCGUCCGUCACCGGCCUCACCUUCCGCGCCCACCUCGUCCACCCGCGCCGCCCCGGGGCCGGCGACGGCGGGUUCGUCUCGGGCCAGGUCGCCGCCGCCAGCGGCGACGGCCUCCUCCUCGUGCGCUUCUGCCACGCCCGCCUCGACGCCCACGCCCUCGUCUGCAACCUCUCCUGGGCCGGCACGGACGCGGACCCGGAGGUGGUCCGCUUCGUCUGCAACCCGCUCACCGGCGAGCUCUACCGCCUCCCGGACCUCGACGGCACCAAGAGGACCUCCGCCUGCCGCCACCUCGGCCUCCUCACCCAGUCCCAGGCCGGCGACGGGCCGCCUGAGAGGUACGCGGUGGCCGAGAUGUUUACUGAUGACGGAGGCCCGGAGGAGGAGGGGGACGGGGGCUUCGUCAUGCGCCGGUUUCUCUCGGAGACGGGGAAGUGGGACAAGGUGGCGGGCUUGCCGUCCCCGCUGCCCGCUGGGCGGAAGAUGGACAUCGACAACGCCGUGGUGGCCUUCGGCGACCGCCUGUGGUGGAUCGACGACAGCUGGGGUGCCAUCUCGGUCGACCCCCUCAGCGACCGUCCGGAGCUCCGCUUCGUCGAGCUGCCGAGAGGCAGCGUGCUCCCUCACCUGGACGGCAUGGCGUCGACGAGGACAUCGGGCAGCCACCGGCGCAUGGGGGUCAGCGAGGGGAAGAUGCGCUACGUCGAGGUGUCCAAGGAGAAGCCAUAUGUGAUCAGCUUGUUCUCGCUGGACGACGGGGACAGCUCCUGGACGCUGGACCAUGAGACGGCGUUUGCUCCGAUUUGGGAUGAUGCACUCCUCUGUUCGGCACCCUUGGAGCAAAUGCUGGCAAUUGGCGCCAUCAACCCACUGAAAGCCAACAUCGUGUACCUUGCCUGCGGCGACAAAAUUCUUGGCGUCGAUGUGGUUACUAAGAAGAUAACUGGGAUUUCUGGUCUAGCUAUAGCAGUACCAGAUCAUCCCCUACUACCAUGUGUGCUUCCAACCUGGCUGGAAUCAAGCCAAAUUCCAUCUGCAGGUUGGAGCAAGAAAAACACCCUUAAAAGUGAGGUAUCGCCAAACACUGUCAAAAGGGAGAAUUUGCAUGUCGAAAUAGAACUGUUGAAAUGA